RNAcentral lists this ribosomal RNA (491 nucleotides) under uncultured bacterium. Its description in RNAcentral is "partial 16S ribosomal RNA". It matches the Rfam family "Bacterial small subunit ribosomal RNA", at positions 27 to 507 of the family's 1533-position model. The record is from RNAcentral.
GAGUGAACGCUGGCGGUAGGCCUAACACAUGCAAGUCGAACGGCAGCACAGGAGAGCUUGCUCUCUGGGUGGCGAGUGGCGGACGGGUGAGGAAUACAUCGGAAUCUGCCCAGUCGUGGGGGAUAACGUAGGGAAACUUACUCUAAUACCGCAUACGACCUUCGGGUGAAAGAGGGGGAUCGCAAGACCUCUCGCGAUUGGAUGAGCCGAUGUCGGAUUAGCUAGUUGGCGGGGUAAUGGCCCACCAAGGCGACGAUCCGUAGCUGGUCUGAGAGGAUGAUCAGCCACACUGGAACUGAGACACGGUCCAGACUCCUACGGGAGGCAGCAGUGGGGAAUAUUGGACAAUGGGCGCAAGCCUGAUCCAGCCAUACCGCGUGGGUGAAGAAGGCCUUCGGGUUGUAAAGCCCUUUUGUUGGGAAAGAAAUCUUUCAGGCUAAUACCCUGGGAGGAUGACGGUACCCAAAGAAUAAGCACCGGCUAACUUCGUG